GACGAACGCUGGCGGCGUGCUUAACACAUGCAAGUCGAGCGGUAAGGCCCUUUCGGGGGUACACGAGCGGCGAACGGGUGAGUAACACGUGGGUGACCUGCCCUCAGCUCUGGGAUAAGCCUGGGAAACCGGGUCUAAUACCGGAUAUGACUCCAUGACGCAGUGUUGUGGGGUGGAAAGCCUUGUGCGGCUGAGGAUGGGGCCCGC
This 207-nucleotide ribosomal RNA is filed under the name uncultured bacterium. RNAcentral describes it as "partial 16S ribosomal RNA". It matches the Rfam family "Bacterial small subunit ribosomal RNA", at positions 28 to 234 of the family's 1533-position model. The record is from RNAcentral.